CAUGCAAGUCGAACGGAAAGGCCCUUCGGGGUACUCGAGUGGCGAACGGGUGAGUAACACGUGGGUGAUCUGCCCUGCACUUUGGGAUAAGCCUGGGAAACUGGGUCUAAUACCGGAUAGGACCAUGGCAUUCAUGUGCUGUGGUGGAAAGCUUUUGCGGUGUGGGAUGGGCCCGCGGCCUAUCAGCUUGUUGGUGGGGUAAUGGCCUACCAAGGCGACGACGGGUAGCCGGCCUGAGAGGGUGACCGGCCACACUGGGACUGAGAUACGGCCCAGACUCCUACGGGAGGCAGCAGUGGGGAAUAUUGCACAAUGGGCGCAAGCCUGAUGCAGCGACGCCGCGUGAGGGAUGACGGCCUUCGGGUUGUAAACCUCUUUCGCUCACGACGAAGCGCAAGUGACGGUAGUGAGAGAAGAAGGACCGGCCAACUACGUGCCAGCAGCCGCGGUAAUACGUAGGGUCCGAGCGUUGUCCGGAAUUACUGGGCGUAAAGAGCUCGUAGGUGGUUUGUCGCGUUGUUCGUGAAAACUCACA
This 535-nucleotide ribosomal RNA is filed under the name uncultured Mycobacterium sp. RNAcentral describes it as "bacterial SSU rRNA". It matches the Rfam family "Bacterial small subunit ribosomal RNA", at positions 54 to 606 of the family's 1533-position model. The record is from RNAcentral. Lineage: Bacteria; Bacillati; Actinomycetota; Actinomycetes; Mycobacteriales; Mycobacteriaceae.